RNAcentral lists this long non-coding RNA (1133 nucleotides) under Olea europaea subsp. europaea. The record is from RNAcentral. Lineage: Eukaryota; Viridiplantae; Streptophyta; Magnoliopsida; Lamiales; Oleaceae.
UAGCUAUAAACAUCCUUGAGGACAUGGCUGCCCUCUACAACCUUUGGCAAAGGUCUUCCAGAGAGCUGCACGUGUUACCAGCUUUCAGUAAUGGCCGGCGAAGAUAGCUUAGACUUCGGCGAAGGUCAUCAAGACAACUACCGGCCAUCAUAACCUCCAGCCAAGGUUGUCGAGGUUUCUAUGGUGAGCAGCCUACAGCCGUAUGGUGAAACGCAAGGGACUCACGACUUUAAAUUAAAAAUCACAUCCUAAAACCAGCAAGUGUGGUCUAGAGGUUGCCAUAGUCACUUCGGUUAUAGUCCCGCAAUAGUUGUAGCUCCUGCAAUGAACAACAGACAAUAUGCAGCAGCACGUGAAAAGGGAGUAACCUUUUUCAUUAAUUCAGACUUAAUUGGAACCAACUUUCUCACGCUUACAAGCCAUUGAAGUUGCCAAUUCUUCCAUAAAUUAAGAAGGCAACCUCGCACACAGGUUGUUUAACGAAAUGUCUGACUUAGACCUUUUCAAAAACCCGACCAGGGAAGCGAGUUUUGAAACAUGAGUUUGCAAGCCUUUUGCUCAGACAACUAUAGGCACGAGGUUUAUUCUAAAUCCUACUCAUUAAUCCUUGCAUAAGCUGGUAGAAAUCUUGUGUUGGAACUUAAAAUUUAAGCAAUCCUAUAUGACACCUGAAAUUGCCUUUGAAAUGCUCGGUAAAUGCCCGAACCAUUUUUAGAUGGUUCCAUUGCAUCAAAUAUGAUUUGCAAGCUUUGAAUUACUGAACUAUUGGCACGUUUAAUCUCUUAUUGCUAGAUACGAAACACUCUAAGAGGCAAGUCAACUUUGGAGGCUGCAGGAUGAUGCAUCCUUGAAAGGCUAGAACUGAAAUUGCUGCAUUCUGGUGGUAUUUGUGGGUUUGAAUUCUUUCCUGGUCGAUUAUGUAUGGUUCAAUUUUAGUUUUCCCUGUUGCCAUACUUAUGUUUAGUUGACUUCUGGUUUAAAACCAUGAUAUUUUGAGGGUUCUUAGUUGUUCAUCAGGCUAGAUUUGAAGGGAUUAGUGCAGAUAUCUUUGAUUAAUGAGCUUGAAUUUGUUGCUUCAUGAGCAGGCGACAGUAGAAACCAUUUCACUGCUGAAUCUUUUCCUAAAGAUAGCA